GACGAACCGUGCGAACGUUGUUCGGAAUCACUGGGCUUAAAGGGCGCGUAGGCGGCCUUCUAAGUCGAACGUGAAAUCCCUGGGCUCAACCCAGGAACUGCGUCCGAUACUGGAAGGCUUGAAUCCGGGAGAGGGAUGCGGAAUUCCAGGUGUAGCGGUGAAAUGCGUAGAUAUCUGGAGGAACACCGGUGGCGAAGGCGGCAUCCUGGACCGGUAUUGACGCUGAGGCGCGAAAGCCAGGGGAGCAAACGGG
RNAcentral lists this ribosomal RNA (253 nucleotides) under uncultured bacterium. Its description in RNAcentral is "partial 16S ribosomal RNA". It matches the Rfam family "Bacterial small subunit ribosomal RNA", at positions 524 to 776 of the family's 1533-position model. The record is from RNAcentral.